This 30-nucleotide non-coding RNA is filed under the name Mus musculus (house mouse). Lineage: Eukaryota; Metazoa; Chordata; Mammalia; Rodentia; Muridae. The record is from RNAcentral.
UAGGUAUCUACCCACAGGGAGUCACUUCCA